CUAACAUGUAUGCGAGUCCCAGGGUCUUGAACAGGCCCGGGAGGCGCAAUGAAAGCAAAGGCCGGGGGACCCCGGCCGUGUUGGGAUCCCCUCUCCUCAAGCGGGAGGGGCGCACCAACGACCCGUCCUGUUCCACUUGUGGAUUGGGCGGAGUCUGAGCAUACACGUUGGGACCCGAAAGAUGGUGAACUAUGCCCGGGCAGGACGAGGCCAGAGGAAACUCUGGUGGAGGUCCGUAGCGGUUCUGACGUGCAAAUCGAUCGUCAGAUCCGGGUCUAGGGGCGAAAGACUAAUCGAACCAUCU
Molecule: ribosomal RNA, 304 nt
Filed under: Labulla thoracica
Lineage: Eukaryota; Metazoa; Arthropoda; Arachnida; Araneae; Linyphiidae
Description: eukaryotic LSU rRNA
Rfam family: Eukaryotic large subunit ribosomal RNA
Source: RNAcentral